RNAcentral lists this ribosomal RNA (460 nucleotides) under uncultured bacterium. Its description in RNAcentral is "partial 16S ribosomal RNA". It matches the Rfam family "Bacterial small subunit ribosomal RNA", at positions 338 to 795 of the family's 1533-position model. The record is from RNAcentral.
CCUACGGGAGGCUGCAGUGAGGAAUAUUGGUCAAUGGACGAGAGUCUGAACCAGCCAAGUAGCGUGAAGGAUGACUGCCCUAUGGGUUGUAAACCUCUUUUAUCAAGGAAUAAAACGCGGCACGUGUGCCUUUUUGCAUGUACCUUAUGAAUAAGGAUCGGCUAACUCCGUGCCAGCAGCCGCGGUAAUACGGAGGAUCCGAGCGUUAUCCGGAUUUAUUGGGUUUAAAGGGAGCGUAGAGGGGUUGUUAAGUCCGGUGUUAAAGUUUGCGGCUCAACCGUAAAAUUGCAGUUGAUACUGGCGGUCUUGAGUGCGGUUGAGGUAGGCGGAAUGCGUGGUGUAGCGGUGAAAUGCUUAGAUAUCACGAAGAACCCCGAUUGCGAAGGCAGCAUACUAAACUGUGACUGACAUUGAUGCUCGAAAGUGUGGGUAUCGAACAGGAUUAGAUACCCGGGUAGUC